AACGAGCAAAGAAAGAAGUGACAAGCAAGAAAUGUUCCAUUACUGCUCCAGCCACAUCCAUGACUCCUUUGCCUUUUUCCCUGCUGUAGCUUGUGAAAUUGAUGCAACAGAUGGAAGAGCUACCUUGCUCAGGGG
Molecule: long non-coding RNA, 135 nt
Organism: Myiozetetes cayanensis
Lineage: Eukaryota; Metazoa; Chordata; Aves; Passeriformes; Tyrannidae
Exons: 3
Source: RefSeq, a predicted model, not a curated record